GGGGGUAUAGCUCAGUUGGGAGAGCACCACACUGGCAGUGUGGGGGUCAUGGGUUCAAGUCCCAUUAUCUCCACCA
RNAcentral lists this transfer RNA (76 nucleotides) under Clostridia bacterium. RNAcentral describes it as "tRNA-Ala". It matches the Rfam family "tRNA". From Rfam's summary of the family: Transfer RNA (tRNA) molecules are approximately 80 nucleotides in length. Their secondary structure includes four short double-helical elements and three loops (D, anti-codon, and T loops). Lineage: Bacteria; Bacillati; Bacillota; Clostridia. The record is from RNAcentral.